GACGAACGCUGGCGGCGUGCUUAACACAUGCAAGUCGAACGGAAAGGCCCUGCUUUUGUGGGGUGCUCGAGUGGCGAACGGGUGAGUAACACGUGAGUAACCUGCCCUUGACUUUGGGAUAACUUCAGGAAACUGGGGCUAAUACCGGAUAGGAGCUCCUGCUGCAUGGUGGGGGUUGGAAAGUUUCGGCGGUUGGGGAUGGACUCGCGGCUUAUCAGCUUGUUGGUGGGGUAGUGGCUUACCAAGGCUUUGACGGGUGGCCGGCCUGAGAGGGUGACCGGCCACAUUGGGACUGAGAUACGGCCCAGACUCCUACGGGAGGCAGCAGUGGGGAAUAUUGCACAAUGGGCGGAAGCCUGAUGCAGCAACGCCGCGUGCGGGAUGGCGGCCUUCGGGUUGUAAACCGCUUUCGCCUGUGACGAAGCGUGAGUGACGGUAAUGGGUAAAGAAGCACCGGCUAACUACGUG
RNAcentral lists this ribosomal RNA (468 nucleotides) under uncultured bacterium. Its description in RNAcentral is "partial 16S ribosomal RNA". It matches the Rfam family "Bacterial small subunit ribosomal RNA", at positions 28 to 507 of the family's 1533-position model. The record is from RNAcentral.